This 432-nucleotide long non-coding RNA is filed under the name Homo sapiens (human). RNAcentral describes it as "HSALNT0307180". The record is from RNAcentral. Lineage: Eukaryota; Metazoa; Chordata; Mammalia; Primates; Hominidae.
CUGUGGAGCGGCCAGGGAAGGCCUGCCCUAGUUUCACCCACCCCAUCCAUCUCCCUGGGCACACCUGCUCCUGCCAUCGGCACUCCUACUAUCAUGGCUGCAUCUGGGGUUUGGAGUUCACAGAAACCUCUUAAAAAGGCACCCAAUUGCUCAACUUUGCUAAGCAGAUGAAGAGUGAAAUAAAUGUUGCUUCACCAGCUGGUUGUUAUAAAGGCCAGCAUCACAUCAGUGGAGACAGUCCAGCCUCCCAGCCAGCCCUAAAGACACAGGCACCAGGAAAGGACCAGGCUCUCCAAGCCCCGGCCAGGCAACUUUGGCCCCAGUGGGCUGGAUGGUGGGAUGCAAUGAACCAUCCAACUUGGUGACUAAGGCUCUUUCUAACCAUGGAGUGUGGACAAAGGGAAAGUCUGUCAUCAGCAGACAAAGGGUAGA